UACGGAGGGGGCUAGCGUUGUUCGGAAUUACUGGGCGUAAAGCGUACGUAGGCGGUGUCCCCAGUCAGAGGUGAAAGCCUGGAGCUCAACUCCAGAACUGCCUUCGAUACUGGCGAUCUUGAGUCCGGAAGAGGUGAGUGGAACUCCUAGUGUAGAGGUGGAAUUCGUAGAUAUUAGGAAGAACACCAGUGGCGAAGGCGGCUCACUGGUCCGGUACUGACGCUGAGGUGCGAAAGCGUGGGGAGCAAACAGGAUUAGAAACCCUAGUAGU
This 271-nucleotide ribosomal RNA is filed under the name uncultured bacterium. Its description in RNAcentral is "partial 16S ribosomal RNA". It matches the Rfam family "Bacterial small subunit ribosomal RNA", at positions 524 to 794 of the family's 1533-position model. The record is from RNAcentral.